GACGAACGCUGGCGGCGUGCUUAACACAUGCAAGUCGAACGGUAAGGCCCUUCGGGGUACACGAGUGGCGAACGGGUGAGUAACACGUGGGUGAUCUGCCCUGCACUUCGGGAUAAGCCUGGGAAACUGGGUCUAAUACCGGAUAUGACUCCGGCCUGCAUGGUCUGGGGUGGAAAGCUUUUGCGGUGUGGGAUGGGCCCGCGGCCUAUCAGCUUGUUGGUGGGGUGAUGGUCUACCAAGGCGACGACGGGUAGCCGGCCUGAGAGGGUGACCGGCCACACUGGUACUGAGAUACGGCCCAGACUCCUACGGGAGGCAGCAGUGGGGAAUAUUGCACAAUGGGCGCAAGACUGAUGCAGCGACGCCGCGUGAGGGAUGACGGCCUUCGGGUUGUAAACCUCUUUCAGCAUCGACGAAGCGAAAGGGACGGUAGGUGCAGAAGAAGGACCGGCCAACUACGUGCCAGCAGCCGCGGUAA
RNAcentral lists this ribosomal RNA (478 nucleotides) under uncultured bacterium. Its description in RNAcentral is "partial 16S ribosomal RNA". It matches the Rfam family "Bacterial small subunit ribosomal RNA", at positions 28 to 523 of the family's 1533-position model. The record is from RNAcentral.